UUAAGAUAAAACAUUCAGUUUUUACUGUGGGACCAAUCCUAACCGUUAGCGCGCGCUAAAGAAGUAGAUACAGUUACAAAUACGACAUUUCACUGACUUUCUAUCGGUGUCAGUCCGUUUGAUUUACAACGGUUGGGUCACAUAUUCGUACCAACAUGUAUUUAGCGAUAUUUUUCUGAUAUUACUAGGUUGCAUCGCUUUUAACAGUAAAACGAUUGACGGUGGGACUUAAUUGAACUAACUUUGGACUGUGACCUGAUAAAUGU
Long non-coding RNA from Hydractinia symbiolongicarpus, 266 nucleotides. RefSeq lists it as uncharacterized. The transcript has 3 exons. NCBI's taxonomy places the organism in Eukaryota, Metazoa, Cnidaria, Hydrozoa, Anthoathecata, Hydractiniidae. The record is from RefSeq and is a predicted model, not a curated record.